AAAGGGAGACCUAAUUCCGGUAGGAGACGAAAAAAAAGUAGUCCCUACCAAGAAUCAAUCCCAAAAGGUCGGAGCGAGGCAAAAUUGGCUUUCAAACUAGGUUCUGGGUUCACACAAGACCUGAAUCAGGAACAAGGGCUAUUAGCUCAGGUGGUUAGAGCGCACCCCUGAUAAGGGUGAGGUCCCUGGUUCGAGUCCAGGAUGGCCCACCUGCACAGGUGGCAAAAACAAAGAAGCGAGGAAUCAGCACCUGAUCUUACUUAUAUAGUAAGAGAGAAUGCUGGCUCUGAGUUCAGAGUCCAGAGGAACCUUGAAAACUGCAUAGAGCUAGGUGAAAAAGCCAAAAAAGAAGACCGCAAG
Molecule: transfer RNA, 360 nt
Filed under: uncultured Microcystis sp.
Lineage: Bacteria; Bacillati; Cyanobacteriota; Cyanophyceae; Chroococcales; Microcystaceae
Description: partial 16S-23S ribosomal RNA intergenic spacer
Rfam family: tRNA (bases 136-209)
Source: RNAcentral